Molecule: ribosomal RNA, 256 nt
Filed under: uncultured bacterium
Lineage: Bacteria
Description: partial 16S ribosomal RNA
Rfam family: Bacterial small subunit ribosomal RNA
Source: RNAcentral
GACGAACCGUACGAACGUUAUUCGGAAUUACUGGGCUUAAAGGGUGCGUAGGCUGCGCGGAAAGUUGGGUGUGAAAUCCCUCGGCUCAACCGAGGAACUGCGCUCAAAAACUACCGUGCUCGAGGGAGACAGAGGUGAGCGGAACUUAGGGUGGAGCGGUGAAAUGCGUUGAUAUCCUAAGGAACACCCGUGGCGAAAGCGGCUCACUGGGUCUCUUCUGACGCUGAGGCACGAAAAGCUAGGGUAGCGAACGGGG